CUCUCCAGAACUGAGGGCUCCGUGGCCAGGCGCUCUUGGCUCUUUGCCCGGCCUGACAGUUGCUCGUUGUAGGUGAGCUCGCUGCGGUUCGGGAAGGAGGUGGACAGCAAGUGUCUGAGCCUGACGGCGUCGUACGUGCGGGCGCAGCAGCAGUGGGACAGCGCCAUCCCCUCGUGCCGCUUCUUCGAGGAGUUCGAUGCCCAUGGGCGGCAGGUGCCCAUCCCCUUUGGCGUCUACAACCUGGAUGACCUCAAAGGGUACUGUCGGCAGAAGGGCUGGUGCCCCUACUUCCUCGCCCGCUACUCGAUCCUCCACGCCAACAUUGUUGUGUACAGUUACCACUACCUGCUGGACCCCAAGAUCGCAGACCUGGUGUCCAAGGAGCUGGCCAAGAAAUCCGUCGU
Molecule: long non-coding RNA, 404 nt
Filed under: Terrapene triunguis (Three-toed box turtle)
Lineage: Eukaryota; Metazoa; Chordata; Testudines; Emydidae
Description: Terrapene carolina triunguis (Three-toed box turtle) lncRNA (ENSTMTG00000015995.1)
Source: RNAcentral